UACAUAAGGAGCAAGCGUUGUCCGGAAUCAUUGGGCGUAAAGGGCGCGCAGGCGGCCUUGCAAGUCGGAUGUGAAAGAUCAAGGCUCAACCUUGACAGGUCAUCCGAAACUGUAAGACUUGAGUGUCAGAGGGGAAAGUGGAAUUCCUAGUGGAGCGGUAAAAUGCGCAGAUAUUAGGAGGAACACCGGUGGCGAAGGCGACUUUCUGGCUGACAACUGACGUUGAGGCGCGAAAGCGUGGGGAGCAAACAGGAUUAGA
RNAcentral lists this ribosomal RNA (259 nucleotides) under uncultured prokaryote. RNAcentral's name for it is "partial 16S ribosomal RNA". It matches the Rfam family "Bacterial small subunit ribosomal RNA", at positions 524 to 782 of the family's 1533-position model. The record is from RNAcentral.